UGUAAUUCAAGACUUUUUUUACAAAUAAUCCUCUAUAAUUUUAUAAUUUGCAAAAUAAUUCUAUCAAAUUUAUAUUUGGUAAACUAACCCUCUAUAUACGGUGAUCGUUCACCGCAUUCUGAAAGACUCCAAGAUUAUUUUAAAGACGGUGAAUCGUUCACCGCAUUCGUUAAGACGGUUAAUGAUUCAUCGCGUUCUUUAUAAUUUUCUUUUACACGGUGAGGAUUAUAUAUGAAAAUGAAAAAAAAAAAAAAAGUUGGUUAAAAUUGUACAUAGAUUAUAUGAAAAAUAAAAAAAGUGAGGUUGUUAAGUUUGUAUAUGAAAGUGAGGUUGUUAAGUUUGUAUAUGAAUUAUUAGAAUUUUUAUUUAAUUGUUAGGAUUGUAUGGAUAGAUUAUUAGAAUUUUCAUAU
Molecule: long non-coding RNA, 410 nt
Filed under: Ananas comosus (pineapple)
Lineage: Eukaryota; Viridiplantae; Streptophyta; Magnoliopsida; Poales; Bromeliaceae
Description: long non-coding RNA (ACOM_LNC007756)
Source: RNAcentral